This is a non-coding RNA of Schistosoma mansoni, 45 nucleotides long. The record is from Rfam. Lineage: Eukaryota; Metazoa; Platyhelminthes; Trematoda; Strigeidida; Schistosomatidae.
AUCCAGUUGACGAGUCCCAGAUGGGACGAAACGCGCGUCCUGAAU